AUGUCAGACGUACUAGUUGUUUGUGUGCUCUUGUCUUGUUUUUGUGUUUCACAGAGUCUUUCAUCUCUGCGUGAGUUAUGUUCUGAUGUCAUGUUUUCCAUAGGUUUGAUUCAUCCCACCACGGGGAUACCUACUCCACCUUCCACAAUCCAACCAACUACUACUACUGCUACUGCUACUACUACUACUACUACUACAACACCUACCAUCAGACCACAACCCACUACUACUACAUCGACCACCACUAAACCUACCACCACAACCACACCACAACCUACUACUACCACCACUACACCUACCACCACACCACAACCCACUACUACUACUACCACCACUACACCUACCACAACUACAACCACACGACAACCCACUACUACCACCACUACACCUACCACCACAACCACACCACAACCCACUACUACUACUACUACCACCACUACACCUACCACCGCUACAACCACACCACAACCUACUACUACCACCACUACACCUACCACCACAACCACACCACAACCCACUACUACCACCACUACACUUACCACCACACCACAACCCACUACUACCACUACUACCACCACUACACCUACCACCACAACCACACCACAACCCACUACUACCACCACUACACCUACCACCACAACCACACCACAACCCACUACUACUACCACCACUACUACACAACCUACUACCACAACGACACAGCUGACAACCACAACAAAACAACCCUCUUUAAUGAUAGUAACAAUGCCUGUUAUAACACGACCGACUCCAACCACUACUACAACAACACAACAAACAACAUCCUGGUCACGACCAACUCCAACCACUACUACAACAACACAACAAACAACAUCCUGGCCACGACCAACUCCAACCACUACUACAACAACACAACAAGCAACAUCCUGGCCACGACCAACUCCAACCACUACUACAACAACACAACAAGCAACAUCCUGGUCACGACCAACUCCAACCACUACUACAACAACACAACAAACAACAUCCUGGCCACGACCAACUCCAACCACUACUACAACAACACAACAAACAACAUCCUGCAACAAUACUCCUACAACAAUAUCUACAAUAACCACUAUGAACAGAAAGCCCAAUAAACCUCCCAAAAAAACUAACAAAUUGUCUAAAAAACCCAAACCACAUCCUGCCACUACUACUACCACUACAACAACAACAACAACUUCUUUACCUGUCUCAACUACACCCCGCAGAGACCCAGACCCCAUCAGAACUACUGAAAAACUCCAGCCAGCCACUGAGCCAGCUACCACCACCACCACUUCUACUGGUGCUGCUGCCACCACUAAGAGCCCAGCAGCCAUUGAGCCCCUGAUCCCAAGGACAACACCAGAAAACGAGCUGGUGCUGGUGCCCAAGGGGGUCCAGGCAGCCCCAGCUUCCCCAGGGACAGAGGGUCAGGGCGGGGGGAAGGAGGUGGCAGGGCGGGGGGCUCUGAAGAGCUCCCUGGUGGCUGUGGUGGUGGUAGGCCUGGCCAUCCUGACUCUGGCCCUGGCUGUGGUUGGACGUAAGGCCAUGGAGUCAUUCGACCGGCGACACUACACCAGGCUGGAGCUUAACGACCUACACUACGAGGUGUGA
Molecule: long non-coding RNA, 1620 nt
Filed under: Oncorhynchus mykiss (rainbow trout)
Lineage: Eukaryota; Metazoa; Chordata; Actinopteri; Salmoniformes; Salmonidae
Description: lncRNA (ENSOMYG00000055082.1)
Source: RNAcentral